UGAGGAACAUGACCUUCGGCGGGGGAUAGCCGGCCCAACGGCCGGGUAAUACCGCGUACGACCUUUUGGGGACAUCCCCGAAUGGUGAAAGCAGCAAUGCGCCGAUGGAGUGCCUCGCGGCCUAUCAGCUAGUUGGUGGGGUAACGGCUCACCAAGGCGACGACGGGUAGCUGGUCUGAGAGGAUGGCCAGCCACAGUUGGGACUGAGACACGGCCCAGACUCC
RNAcentral lists this ribosomal RNA (224 nucleotides) under uncultured bacterium. RNAcentral describes it as "partial 16S ribosomal RNA". It matches the Rfam family "Bacterial small subunit ribosomal RNA", at positions 118 to 339 of the family's 1533-position model. The record is from RNAcentral.